ACUCCACCAUCAUCCUGAGCAUCGUCAACGUUUUCAAGGGUUUGGACAUCUUGAAUCCAGACCAGAAAUGGAAGAGAGCAUACAUUGGCAUCCUCAUAUUUCUGGGUUGUGUGGCAGUCGUUCUUGAGGCUUUAACUUGGUUCAUUGUCCUGAGGAGGAAGAGAGUGGAAUCCGACAAGCUAUCAGGCAGUGUUAAUGGAACAACUGGGGUUAACCAGGGGGUUUAGAUCGCACUCUUUCUUUUUUUUUUUCCUUUUCUGUUCUGCGGUCUUUUACGACACGAUUGAGGAGGGUAUAUUACAUGAACCUUACAGAGCUGCUUAUUGAUGUUUCUUGUUGUGUUAGAUUACUUGGUAGAGAGGUGUUAAUUUGCAUGUGGAUAGGCUGUAACUUUGCAUCAUAUAUACAUAUGUAUAAAUAUAUUCAUGGGAUUCCAUUAUUUUAGUUUCAUAUAAUUAAUAAAACAUUGGAUUAUUCCAUUUCAUUGUUGCUGUCUUAAUUCAGCUAAGCAUGUGUUUUUCACCCAUUUUCUCAAUCCGCAAGUUCGGGAAUUAAUAUCCCAUUUGGGAGCUACAUUAACACAGUAUAAAUUCACACAUAUAUUGGCAUUAUAUGUUUGGGAGUAGAGAAAGUAAAAGGAAGAACAUGGCCUCCAAAAAUGGAUGAAAUUUACUAACAGUAACAUAAUUUGGGAGCACUUACCUGUUCCUGCUGCAGGGGCGUAAAGGACCCUGUUUUGGGAUGUUUGACUCUGCUUCAAGAAUCUAGCCUAUUUUAGCCAACUUAAAAAGAAUAUACGAAUUUAUAAAAAGAAUGAACAAAUUUAUAUUGGAAACGUAGCUCUAAUUUUUCGAGCUGAU
RNAcentral lists this long non-coding RNA (860 nucleotides) under Carica papaya (papaya). RNAcentral describes it as "long non-coding RNA (CPAP_LNC003417)". Lineage: Eukaryota; Viridiplantae; Streptophyta; Magnoliopsida; Brassicales; Caricaceae. The record is from RNAcentral.